Molecule: long non-coding RNA, 1442 nt
Filed under: Camarhynchus parvulus
Lineage: Eukaryota; Metazoa; Chordata; Aves; Passeriformes; Thraupidae
Description: lncRNA (ENSCPVG00000000842.2)
Source: RNAcentral
CCUGAGACUCAAAUCUGGCUUGUUUCUUUUUAUUGGAUGCUUUUGUUCUUGUGUAUUUUUAUUUGCCUUGCUGUGUUCUUUUCUUCAGGAAGCACAAAUGUUGCUGACAACAAGUCUGAGAGCCCAGAAGGGUGGAGAUCUCGGUUGAAGCCUGUAGCCAACAAGUGAGUGUCCUUGGAGCUGGUGGAUUUCCAUGACAAAUGUGACCAUCCCAGGUGGAGAUCCACACCAGGAUGUCCAGAACUUUUCCCGUGGACCAUUCAGCAUGAGAGAUUUUCCCUACCUUUGUCUUUUUCCUUUGCAGGGACCAAGAUGUCUCUAAGAAACCUGCUGAGAGCUCCCAGGUGGGAGCAGGGAGCCCAGCACAGAAGGAGCCAAAGCCAAGCCCAUUAGUUGUCCCACCAGCAAAGCAGGACUCUGCUUCAUCUGGUGGAUUCACAAAGAAGUUGUUGAUUCCCAGCUCAGAUCUUAUCAGGAGCUGUCAGAAUUCAAAGCAAGACUGGAAAGAUCCUGGAGGGUCUGCCAAGAAGGAGGAAGAUGGCAACCAGUUGAAAACAAACACUGCUACAUUUAAACUCCCUGUUCCAAAAAGCAAAGGGGAGCCUCAGGUGGUGUCCCCAACCAAGGUAUGGCUGGAAACCAGGUGUAAGUGGAGCAGGGUGGGGUGGUUAAAUAUCCUUCUGGAGUGCUUGUCCAGAUAUAUCUAAGUUUGUCUUAUUGGGAGGGUUUGUUUGGAUACCCAGGGAAAGGGUGAAAGGCUGUGGGGCAGAAGAAGGUGGAGAAGCUGCUGGUUAUCUUCCGUGCAGAAUCAGAGCUGGAAUCAGACAGAGCCAAACAAAACUAUGGCAGAGAUUGCAUUCCCCACAGGAGGAGGGAGAAUGUCUGCAGGCUGACAGGUGUGGGGGAGUUACCACUGACAGCACGUGUGUCACACCCUGCAGUGGGCACUGACAGCACGUGUGUCACACCCUGCAGUGGCCACUGCUCUGGUGUGAGCAGCCAGCUCUGCCCCUCUGCUGGCCUGGCCCUCCCAGGUUGUGGCUCUGUACCUGGGCUCCUCAUGCCCUUUCCCAUCUCUGUUGUGACCUCACCAGACAGUCUCAGGGUUCCUGAGCUGCAUUUGGCCCUACUUUUUUUUUUCCCCUAGCUGCACCCAGACUACCUCCCUGAGGAGAAGAUCCAGGAGAAGGUUUGUGCCAUCGAGAAGCAGCUGGACGAGCUGGAAUUGAAAGGAGUGGAUCUGGAGAAGCAGCUGCGUGCCUGUGAGGGAGGUGAGGAGCCCUGGUGCCAGCUCUGCCCUGUUGGGGAGCUGUGGGGCUCAGGUCCUACCCCUGGGCACUCUUGGCUCCAUUUUUAGGAGCUCAGGCUGCAUGGGAGUCACCAGGUUGCCAGAGGUACCUGGUAUAUAAAGUUAAAGCCCAGGGGAUUUUGAACCUUCUCUG